RNAcentral lists this unclassified non-coding RNA (269 nucleotides) under Hevea brasiliensis (rubber tree). The record is from RNAcentral. Lineage: Eukaryota; Viridiplantae; Streptophyta; Magnoliopsida; Malpighiales; Euphorbiaceae.
UGUUGAAAUUUUAUAAUUUUUCACGUGGAAUACAAAACCAAAUCCUCAUUCAUUUUUAAUGCACACCUAUCCAAAUGUAGCCUGUGAUGAUUUUUACAUUUUUUCUGUACGUAUUACAUAUCAUAAACACUUAUCCUGUAUUCAUUAUUUAAGUGAAGAACAUAUAACACAAGUAAGCUCUUUUAGCUUUCCAUUUUCUAAGACACAUUCUAAAGUCUCUAAAGAUUUCAACUGCAUACACAUACAAAUUGGUUAUGCUGCCUUCAAUU